UCCAUUGAAAAGACAACAUAAUGAAUGUAAUUACUAUAUUCUUAUUACAAUCAAAGUGAAAUCCUUUCCCAGGUUCAUAAACCAAUUACAUCAUUCGUUGUUCUUAUGUAUAUUACAUACAAUUAUAAUAAUCUAUUACAUGAUGGUUAACUAUCCAUCUUAGCCUUGCCCUUAUUUCUCUUAGCAUUCUCAGUAUGCUCGGCUUUAACUGCAAUCACAUAAUUCAUGCAAGAAGUGAGCAUAACAAGCUCAGCAAGUCUAACAAAGAAUAAUAUCAAUACCACAUUUGUGAAUUAUAUGAAAAUCUUUUAUAACUGAACAAAUAGUCAGGAAAUAUUAUGAAACAUUAAUAUUUAACAAUUCAUAACAUCAAUUCCUAAAGUAUAUAAUAGUUUAGGAAUUCUGAACCGGUCGAAAGACCAUGAACAGUAUCUUUCUAUUUUCAUACUUGAAAAGGACAUCACAGCACUAAGGCUGUACAUCCGGCAUUUCUU
RNAcentral lists this long non-coding RNA (494 nucleotides) under Panax ginseng (ginseng). RNAcentral's name for it is "long non-coding RNA (PGIN_LNC003499)". The record is from RNAcentral. Lineage: Eukaryota; Viridiplantae; Streptophyta; Magnoliopsida; Apiales; Araliaceae.